Zingiber officinale is the source of this 385-nucleotide long non-coding RNA. RefSeq lists it as uncharacterized. The transcript has 3 exons. Lineage: Eukaryota; Viridiplantae; Streptophyta; Magnoliopsida; Zingiberales; Zingiberaceae. The record is from RefSeq and is a predicted model, not a curated record.
AAUUUAAAAAGAAACAAGCUAGAUCAUCGCAGAAGUUAACUACCAAACUCCACAGUUCUUUGGAAGACCCCAACACAAAUGAUUUGGAGGAUGAUCUACCCGUAGAUAAUGCUUCAAAGCAAUUGGUGCUUCAUAAUGAGACUUCUAGUACACAUUAGAUACAAGUGAGAAGUAGUAAAGAUGCCAAACAAUGUGGUUAUUAUGUGAUGCGAUUUAUGAGACAAAUUGUUGAAGAAGUUGAAAUUAUCGAGAGAGAUUCACUACGAUCUAUAUUUACAGAAGCGGAGUAUUCUCGAGAAGAAAUUGAUGAGGUGCGAUCGGAGUUGACAGAAUGUAUACAAGAUCAUAUUUAUGAGUAGGUGCGUUCAAGUUUAUGUAAGUUCAU